UUUCCGUAGGUGAACCUGCGGAAGGAUCAUUAAAGUUAUAGUCCCCCGGCCCUCUGGGCUGGGGUCUUCUAUACCACCCUUUGUUUAUUACACCUUUGUUGCUCUGGCAGGCCUGCCCUCGGGCUGCUGGCUCCGGCCGGCUCGCGUCUGCCAGAGGACCUAAACUCUGUUUGUAUAUGAAGUCUGAGUACUAUAUAAUAGUUAAAACUUUCAACAACGGAUCUCUUGGUUCUG
RNAcentral lists this unclassified non-coding RNA (234 nucleotides) under plant metagenome. RNAcentral describes it as "partial contains small subunit ribosomal RNA, internal transcribed spacer 1, and 5.8S ribosomal RNA". The record is from RNAcentral.